AAAAUCUUCUUGCUCCUUUCUUCCGAGAGUAAACUUAUCAGUUUUGAUUUCUGUCUAUUAUGCUAGUUAAUUGUGAGUGGUGUUCUUUGUAUCAUUUUAGGAGUGCCUGUUCGGCCUGUACGCAUAGUAUGUGUCAACGGCAAUGUACUGUCAAACGCCAAUCCAGCUGCUCGACCAACAUUUCGGAGUGUGUCUCAGAUUGUUAAGGUAGUACGGCCCGGCCUUCGGCCAAUAUUGCCCGCCACUUUGCAGCCAUCAUUGCGACUUGCCAAUCGGCCAGUAUUACGGCUUACUGCCCAACAAUCAUUGCGGCCGGUGAAGCUAAUCACCCCCCCGCAAGUGACUCAGCCUACUCAGCAUGUGCCUUCUUGCCAGAUACGGCUUACUGCCCAACAACCAUUGCGGCCGGUGAAGCCAAUCACCCCCCGCAAGUGACUCAGCCUACUCAGCAUGUGCCUUCUUGCCCUACACUUCCAUCUGUAAGACCAGGUACUGGAGUUGAAAUAAGCUAAUAAUUGUAAUAUCCAUUUUAAAUUUAGCUUAGAAAGCUGAAAAAUUAGUCACAAACGCUCAAAGUGAUCAUACGAGGUCUUUCAUAUAAGAAACUGGAUUUUGGUUAUAACUAGUGCAUUGUGCGUUCGAAUUAGGUUUCGUUGGACUUUCCUGAUAGCUGAUUACAUACUGAAGAACGCAAGAUUCACAGAUUUAGUUUAUUCUCAUCUGUGUUCAUUAUGUGUCACCUUAAAUACGAGUAAGUCAGGUGCAUUCUGCGAUUUUCAUCACGCAGUCAUUGAUAGAUAAAAGAUUUAUCAUAAAAUUUUGUUUUGAACUCGGUAUACCUUGUAACAAAACUUUUGGUAUGCUAAGUAAAGUUUACCGAGAUCAUUGUAUGAGUUGUUCUCCGGUUCAAAACUGGUAGGAGUCCGUCGAAGAUGAGGAGCGCAGGAAUCGACCAUUAACGGCACCUGACAUUUGCCACAUGGCGCUCGAAAAUGGUCGUUUGGAGCUUGCUGAACAGUGUGAUAUUUCUGAAGGCUCUGUACAUACAGCUUUGUUAGAAUAUUUACACUUGCAUCAAGUUUCAGCUAAACUUGUCUGGAGACUGUUGUUGUUGAACAAAAUCCAACCGAUUGUAAAUUUUCGUUGAGCUUCUUGAACGUUCUAACA
This 1167-nucleotide long non-coding RNA is filed under the name Bemisia tabaci. RNAcentral's name for it is "lncRNA ENSSSA3NGG008604". The record is from RNAcentral. Lineage: Eukaryota; Metazoa; Arthropoda; Insecta; Hemiptera; Aleyrodidae.